UAACUCUCUUCAAUAUUUUUUAAUUACAAAACUAGCUUUCUUUUUUUUUUUUUAACUCGCGAAGUCCCCACUUUCAACUCUCCAAAAUCUCACUUUAUUUCUUCUUGGAUUUCCACCCUCCUCUCACCGUGUCCGUUGUCUUCAUAUCUGUUUUGUUUCGACCUUUCAUCUGCCGUCUCCACGUAACGCCCCCACAACUUAUAUGGACCGUUGAUUGCUCCACCAACUUCUGUCUGGUUCGUUCUCGAAC
RNAcentral lists this long non-coding RNA (250 nucleotides) under Vigna radiata. RNAcentral describes it as "long non-coding RNA (VRAD_LNC009399)". Lineage: Eukaryota; Viridiplantae; Streptophyta; Magnoliopsida; Fabales; Fabaceae. The record is from RNAcentral.